UUCAAAAAAGAAAAUACAAAAUGAUAAAUAAAAUUUUCAAAAAAAAAAAAUUUAUUAAUUUUAUUUUAAUUUAUUUUCUUUAAUUAUACGAAGAGAUAAACACGACUGCUCUCGACUGUAUGCAAAGAUUUUAUGAUUGUAGCUUUAUUAUGUUUGAAACCUAACAGCUAGAUCGAACAAAAACAGCACCAGCAAGCAUACAAGUAGUAAAAUAUAAGUAGAUGAUAAAAACCCAGUCAGUCAGUCAUCACAUUUCAGACUAAUGGAAAAUGUGACAUUUAAUUUUUAAGUGAAAUGCGUCUUUAAAAGAGCCGGCAUUCUAUCAUUAUUAUUCAUUGACAUUUAAAUUGUGAUGAGAAAUUAAGAAAUAACGUCAAAGGAGUAUAAACAAUUGUGAAAAUGUCACAUUGUUAAUGUAGUUUAGCUAAACAGUUUUAAAAAUACUAAAAUUAUUCAAAUUAUUACUCAUGAUUCUUAUUUAGAAAAUGUUGUAGCUGCAUAAAUAUACCUACAUACAUAUAAAAAUGUACCUACAUACAUACAUAUAUUGUCAAAUAAGAUAAUUCAAAAAGUUUCUCUUUUAUCAUCCAAGUUAAUUAAGUUGCAUGCAAGUACACAUAUUGCUUUUAUCUUUUACAUAAUGGUUUUCACAACUUUUGUAAUCUUACAAACUGGAACAAGACAAAGUUUACUGCAUAUAUUACAUAUGUGCAAUAUACAUACACACAAGGAUAUAAAUCAUUCAUAUUGUGAAUCAAGGAGAAUACGCAAAUGCGAAAUGUGUUCAAAUAAGGUAACACGUGUUUUGUAUAACAAUAAUAGUAAAUCUAAUUAGAAUUUUAUAUAUAUUAACAUUAUAUAACGUAUGUAUAUGUUUAUAUGCAAUUUGCUGUAUAACAGUAACAAGGGUAAUGCAAAAUAAUAUAAUUAAAAUAUAAUAUUUAAAAGUGUUUUUUUUUUAGUUUUCCGAAUUAAAUUUUUUUAUUCUCAUUAAGUCAAUUAUGAAACUUUAUAUAUGUAUGUAUAAAAAGAUAUAUUUCUGACAAAUCAUAAGGCUGAAUGAU
Molecule: long non-coding RNA, 1064 nt
Organism: Condylostylus longicornis
Lineage: Eukaryota; Metazoa; Arthropoda; Insecta; Diptera; Dolichopodidae
Exons: 5
Source: RefSeq, a predicted model, not a curated record